RNAcentral lists this ribosomal RNA (497 nucleotides) under uncultured bacterium. RNAcentral describes it as "partial 16S ribosomal RNA". It matches the Rfam family "Bacterial small subunit ribosomal RNA", at positions 28 to 507 of the family's 1533-position model. The record is from RNAcentral.
GAGGAAAGCGGGGGGCGUGCCUAAUACAUGCAAGUCGAGCGAACAGACGAGGAGCUUGCUCCUCUGACGUUAGCGGCGGACGGGUGAGUAACACGUGGAUAACCUACCUAUAAGACUGGGAUAACUUCGGGAAACCGGAGCUAAUACCGGAUAACAUGUUGAACCGCAUGGUUCAACAGUGAAAGACGGUCUUGCUGUCACUUAUAGAUGGAUCCGCGCCGCAUUAGCUAGUUGGUAAGGUAACGGCUUACCAAGGCAACGAUGCGUAGCCGACCUGAGAGGGUGAUCGGCCACACUGGAACUGAGACACGGUCCAGACUCCUACGGGAGGCAGCAGUAGGGAAUCUUCCGCAAUGGGCGAAAGCCUGACGGAGCAACGCCGCGUGAGUGAAGAAGGUCUUCGGAUCGUAAAACUCUGUUAUUAGGGAAGAACAAAUGUGUAAGUAACUAUGCACGUCUUGACGGUACCUAAUCAGAAAGCCACGGCUAACUACGUG